GGCGGGUUCCGCGGGCAGGUUGUGCGGGACCUGCCGGAGUUUGCGGGGGCGGGAGCGUCCUGGACUCCGCGUCCCCGGGCACCCCGCGCGCUGACCCGCAGGGGCUGGCAAGUGUCUGGUCCCGGCGCUGCCGGCGCUCAGGCUGCGCCCUGAGCCCGCAGGAAGCGGGCGUGUGCUGAGCGUCUGUGACCCUCGCGGCGGAAUAAACAGGAAGCGACGAGCACCCAGCCGGGCCACCCUGCUUUUGUUGUGCGGGCUGCGGGGCGCAGCGCGGAGGACGCUUCCUGGGACCCCAGCCGGCCGCCCCGGGGCCGGGCGCGCCCUCCGUUGAAGUUCUACAUUUGUAACGUCAAACUGCUGUCUCCUGAUGGGACCAUUUUCAAGAACUGACAUCAGUUUUCAUACAGCUUAAAAGGUGAGUAAAACUUGAGACUCUCCCCUUUGGUAACGUUCCUGAAGCAGAGCUUGUCCCAGCAUUGACUGUUCUGGGAUGCUGUUCCUCUCAGGAAAGUGGUCCCAACUUCUGGGUGUAUAGACCAUCUCACCAGGGUGACUUUUUCACCACUGAUGGGGCAAACUUGCACAAUACCAGAUUAAAUGUGAUUUCUUUUUUUAAUAUGCCAGUAUGUUUACAGGGG
This 638-nucleotide long non-coding RNA is filed under the name Camelus dromedarius (Arabian camel). RNAcentral's name for it is "lncRNA (ENSCDRG00005020794.1)". The record is from RNAcentral. Lineage: Eukaryota; Metazoa; Chordata; Mammalia; Artiodactyla; Camelidae.